Molecule: unclassified non-coding RNA, 248 nt
Filed under: Bipolaris microstegii
Lineage: Eukaryota; Fungi; Ascomycota; Dothideomycetes; Pleosporales; Pleosporaceae
Description: partial internal transcribed spacer region
Rfam family: Eukaryotic small subunit ribosomal RNA (bases 1-46)
Source: RNAcentral
AAGUCGUAACAAGGUCUCCGUAGGUGAACCUGCGGAGGGAUCAUUACACAACAAAAUAUGAAGGCCCUGGCUUCGCGGCCGGCUGAAAUAUUUUUUCACCCAUGUCUUUUGCGCACUUGUUAUUUCCUGGGCGGGUUUGCCCGCCACCAGGACCAAACCAUAAACCUUUUUUUUUAUGCAGUUACCAUCAGCGUCAGUAAAAACAAUGUAAUUAAUUACAACUUUCAACAACGGAUCUCUUGGUUCUG